AUGUUCUGUUAUAAUCUCUACCCGGCACAGCCAGAAGAGGACUGGCCACCCCACAUAGCCUGGUUCCUCUCUAGGUUUCUUCCUAGGUUUUGGCUUUUCUAGGGAGUUUUUCCUAGCCACCGUGCUUCUACACCUGCAUUGCUUGCUGUUUGGGGUUUUAGGCUGGGUUUCUGUACAGCACUUUGAGAUAUCAGCUGAUGUACGAAGGGCUAUAUAAAUAAAUUUGAUUUGAUUUGAUUUGAUUUGGUGAGACUGACUGACUGACUGACUGACUGACUGACUGACUGACUGACUGACUGACAGACUGACAGACUGACUGAGGGUUAGUACAGGAGAGAGGAGGAGGAGACUAACCUGUUACUGGGACAACAGAGACUGGUGAGACUGACUGACUGACUGACUGACUGACUGACUGAGGGUUAGUACCGGAGGGAGAAGGAGGAGGCUGACCUAUUACUGGAACAACAGAGACUGUAUACAGACUCAGACAGUGGAGACGACUCUGAUAAGAGAUCCUGUGAAGAGAGCUGGAGACUGAUAUCUUCACUCAGAGAGAAACUACCUGCUAACAAGGUCCAGUCGAUAGUAAAGCGUUGUGGCCUGCCCAGUAGUGGUAAACGUCGGGAGCCACUCAGGGUCUAUCAGAUCCCUCAGCGUCGCCGAAUCAGCAAAGACCCCAAACGGGUUACCAUCAGAGACCUGAGGAUGCAGGCGGUCAAAGAGAUCUGCUACGAGGUACAGUAUUGUUACCACGCCAAAUACAACACCCCACUGGCUCUGUCCCAGUCACCUUACUGUCAAGAGAUCUACUACAAGGUUUUUAAAAUGUUUUAUUUCAUCUUUAUUUAAC
Oncorhynchus masou masou (cherry salmon) is the source of this 850-nucleotide long non-coding RNA. RefSeq lists it as uncharacterized. The record is from RefSeq and is a predicted model, not a curated record. The transcript is spliced from 3 exons. NCBI's taxonomy places the organism in Eukaryota, Metazoa, Chordata, Actinopteri, Salmoniformes, Salmonidae.